UACGAGGGGUGCAAGCGUUAAUCGGAAUUACUGGGCGUAAAGCGUGCGUAGGUGGUUUGGUAAGUCUGCUGUGAAAGCCCUGGGCUCAACCUGGGAAUGGCGGUGGAUACUGACAAGCUAGAGUGCGGUAGAGGAGGGUGGAAUUCCCGGUGUAGCGGUGAAAUGCGUAGAGAUCGGGAGGAACAUCAGUGGCGAAGGCGGCCCUCUGGACCAGCACUGACGCUGAGGCACGAAAGCGUGGGGAGCAAACAGG
This 253-nucleotide ribosomal RNA is filed under the name uncultured bacterium. Its description in RNAcentral is "partial 16S ribosomal RNA". It matches the Rfam family "Bacterial small subunit ribosomal RNA", at positions 524 to 776 of the family's 1533-position model. The record is from RNAcentral.